CAUCGCAGCUACCAUGCAAGUCGAACGCUCCGCAAGGAGAGUGGCAGACGGGUGAGUAACGCGUGGGANUCUACCCAAUUCUACGGAACAACAGAGGGAAACUUCUGCUAAUACCGUAUACGCCCUACGGGGGAAAGAUUUAUCGGAAUUGGAUGAGCCCGCGUAAGAUUAGCUAGUUGGUGGGGUAAUGGCCUACCAAGGCGACGAUCUUUAGCUGGUCUGAGAGGAUGAUCAGCCACACUGGGACUGAGACACGGCCCAGACUCCUACGGAAGGCAGCAGUGGGGAAUAUUGGACAAUGGGCGCAAGCCUGAUCCAGCCAUGCCGCGUAAGUGAUGAAGGCCUUAGGGUUGUAAAGCUCUUUCAGUGGGGAAGAUAAUGACGGUACCCACAGAAGAAGCCCCGGCUAACUUCGUGCCAGCAGCCGCGGUAAUACGAAGGGGGCUAGCGUUGUUCGGAUUUACUGGGCGUAAAGCGCACGUAGGCGGUUUGUUAAGUCAGGGGUGAAAUCCCAGAGCUCAACUCUGGAACUGCCUUUGAUACUGGCAAGCUAGAGUCCGGAAGAGGUAGGUGGAACUCCUGGUGUAGAGGUGGAAUUCGUAGAUAUUAGGAAGAACACCCAGUGGCGAAGGCGGCUUACUGGUCCGGAACUGACCGCUAGGUCNAAGC
RNAcentral lists this ribosomal RNA (669 nucleotides) under uncultured bacterium. Its description in RNAcentral is "bacterial SSU rRNA". It matches the Rfam family "Bacterial small subunit ribosomal RNA", at positions 43 to 760 of the family's 1533-position model. The record is from RNAcentral.